RNAcentral lists this ribosomal RNA (301 nucleotides) under uncultured bacterium. Its description in RNAcentral is "partial 16S ribosomal RNA". It matches the Rfam family "Bacterial small subunit ribosomal RNA", at positions 509 to 807 of the family's 1533-position model. The record is from RNAcentral.
CAGUCGCCGCGGGAAUACAGAGGGUGCGAGCGUUAAUCGGAUUUACUGGGCGUAAAGCGUGCGUAGGCGGCUUUUUAAGUCGGAUGUGAAAUCCCUGAGCUUAACUUAGGAAUUGCAUUCGAUACUGGGAAGCUAGAGUAUGGGAGAGGAUGGUAGAAUUCCAGGUGUAGCGGUGAAAUGCAUAGAGAUCUGGAGGAAUACCGAUGGCGAAGGCAGCCAUCUGGCCUAAUACUGACGCUGAGGUACGAAAGCAUGGGGAGCAAACAGGAUUAGAUACCCCAGUAGUCCCUGUCUCUUAUAC